AGACGACCAGGAGUUUCCUCUGCAGACACAUUGUCCCAGCCCAUCCUCCUGUUCUCCCUCCCUCUCACCUCCUCCCUCUCUUCUUUCCAAACUCCUGGAUCAGGGGGAAUCUUAUGAUUCCAACAAACCUGCCUCGACGAUGUCAUAUCAGGCUGCCCUGCCCCAGGGAAGAAAGGGCCGUGACCAGGACCGCCAUCGGUGAGGGAGGAACCAGAAUGCAGCUGCUGAUGGAAAAACACAGAACUUCUGGGAAGAGGAGGCCAGAGGGCGGUCCUGUGAGCAGCUUCCCUUUCAAGCCGGCAUGCAGAAGCGGUCACAGCAUUCCCCAGCCCAACCUUCUAUUUAUUCAGAAACAAAGAGACUAGCCCACGCCAGGCAUCCUUUUCCUG
RNAcentral lists this long non-coding RNA (389 nucleotides) under Homo sapiens (human). RNAcentral describes it as "HSALNT0360164". Lineage: Eukaryota; Metazoa; Chordata; Mammalia; Primates; Hominidae. The record is from RNAcentral.